This 397-nucleotide ribosomal RNA is filed under the name uncultured bacterium. Its description in RNAcentral is "partial 16S ribosomal RNA". It matches the Rfam family "Bacterial small subunit ribosomal RNA", at positions 523 to 918 of the family's 1533-position model. The record is from RNAcentral.
AUACGUAGGUGGCGAGCGUUGUCCGGAAUUACUGGGCGUAAAGGAUGCGUAGGGGGAUAUUUAAGUGGGAUGUGAAAUCCCCGGGCUCAACCCGGGAACUGCAUUCCAAACUGGGUAUCUAGAGUGCAGGAGAGGAAAGCGGAAUUCCUAGUGUAGCGGUGAAAUGCGUAGAUAUUAGGAGGAACACCAGUGGCGAAGGCGGCGUUCUGGACUGUAACUGACACUGAGGCAUGAAAGCGUGGGUAGCAAACAGGAUUAGAUACCCUGAUAGUCCACACUGUAAACGAUGAAUGCUAGGAGAAGGGGGUAUCGACCCCUUCUGUGCCGCAGUUAACACAAUACGCAUUCCGCCUGGGGAGUACGGCCGCAAGGUUGAAACUCAAAGGAAUUGACGGGG